AGUGAACGCUGGCGGUAGGCCUAACACAUGCAAGUCGAACGGCAGCACAGUAAGAGCUUGCUCUUACGGGUGGCGAGUGGCGGACGGGUGAGGAAUACAUCGGAAUCUACUUUUUCGUGGGGGAUAACGUAGGGAAACUUACGCUAAUACCGCAUACGACCUACGGGUGAAAGCAGGGGAUCUUCGGACCUUGUGCGAUUGAAUGAGCCGAUGUCGGAUUAGCUAGUUGGCGGGGUAAAGGCCCACCAAGGCGACGAUCCGUAGCUGGUCUGAGAGGAUGAUCAGCCACACUGGAACUGAGACACGGUCCAGACUCCUACGGGAGGCAGCAGUGGGGAAUAUUGGACAAUGGGCGCAAGCCUGAUCCAGCCAUACCGCGUGGGUGAAGAAGGCCUUCGGGUUGUAAAGCCCUUUUGUUGGGAAAGAAAAGCAGCAGGUUAAUACCCCGCUGUUCUGACGGUACCCAAGGAAUAAGCACCGGCUAACUUCGUG
RNAcentral lists this ribosomal RNA (492 nucleotides) under uncultured bacterium. Its description in RNAcentral is "partial 16S ribosomal RNA". It matches the Rfam family "Bacterial small subunit ribosomal RNA", at positions 29 to 507 of the family's 1533-position model. The record is from RNAcentral.